UUGUGGGGAGGCCCUGGGGCUUGGUGGGGAGCAGCCGAUCACAGCAUGGGCCACUGUGGAGCCCCUACAGGCCCACCUGCAGCUGCAGGGACCAGCUCUUGGGGGAGACUUUAUCUGGGGCCCUGGGAGAUGUGGCGGCUUUUAUUUACAUCCCCCCAAAUCUGCCGUGGUUCUCCAGGGUAGAAGAAAGCCAGGUGGGCAGGAAGAGGUGGAGAGGCCCCGCCCAGCUUAGGUGCUCCCUGUUAGCACGGACUAACCCAUGGAAGGUGAGCCUUGCACUACUGACCUAUGCAGGACCCUCGCUUUCACCUCGGCCUGGCAAGAAGCUUCCAGAAUGAGUCCAUCCAGGAGGGGGAGAACGUGAAGACACACUCAUCCACAGCUGGGCAGGGUGGGGAGGGUCUUUGGGGUGGAGAUCUGGCCCCAUCUAUCAAAAUGUCAAGUGACUCAAGAAUUGCCCUUCCAGAAAUUUCCACGAGAGCCUCGUAAAGUGUCUCCUGCCCACCCCCACCGUCGUUCCAUUCAGCAGCAUGCGCCGCUCAGAACGAGGAAGAACAAACGGGAGUGGCCAUGACUGACACACGAGAUGGAUCGGAUGGGACAGGACAGGACAGACCUUGAGAAGCCGGAGCGAGGUCUGCCUAUGCAGUGGCAGCAUUCACAAGAGCCAAAAGCUGGAAACAAGCCAGUGUCCAUCGGUCCAUCAGUCCAUCCGUCCAUCCCACGAAACACGAGUCAGCCGUAACAAGGAAGAGAAUCCUGACCCACACCACGACUCGGGUGAACCUUGCUGACACUGGUCACAGAAGGAUGAGUACCCCACCUGCUCACGUUCCCCCCUCCCUGUUCCCUGGGGUCACCUCCCAAAUAAGCCACUUGGCCUUGAAUGUGCGUGUCUGUUUCUGGGGGAACCAGUCACAUGUAGAUGAGUGUCUACGUGCUUGCGCAGACAGGUUACGUUUUAUAUAUAAAUCCCAGCUGCACCCCGAGCCGGGAGCAACUUACUUAAACUCCCGGAGCCUCAAUUUCUGCAGCAAUAAGCGAGUAGCCGGACGCGCUCCCCUGCGGGGCUGGGAUGAGGGCGGUAGUAGUAGCCGUGGGUUGCCACAACCUAGCGCACUUUCCCCCGGCCCACAGGCGGGCAGUCCCAGACACGGGUGUCAGAAGGGCCGGGGUCUGCCCAGGCCUCUCUGCGGCCUCCUGCCUUCUCUCUGCGCACAUUCGCCCCCUAAUCUCCUCUUCUUACCAGGACACGGGCAGACUGGAGUGGGGCUCACCUCAGCGAACUUUUUAAAUCUUAAUCAGCUCCUGAAAUACCCUGUCUCCGCACACAAUCACGUCAUGAGGUUCCGGCCUCAGCACGUGAAUCUCAGGGGGCACAAUUCAGCGCAUCACGGGGACAGAGUGAGUUAAGGAGGCCACAUGUGAUGGGCCAAUCCCUCGUGAAUGGGGAAACUGAGGAAGCUGCUUCUGGCAGGAGUGAGAAUGGCAUCUUCCACUCUGGAAUGCACAUCCAGGCCCCAGAGCCAGUUCUGACAGACGGACCCAAAGUCUGGAAAGCCCUGGAAACAGGGAGCAAAGCUGAUGGUCCCCAAGACGUUCCUCAUGUGCCCCCAGGAGAGUCUCCCGUCUCUGAAGAUGCCCGUUGCCUCCAGGUGUGAGCAUCUCCCCAAGCACACCGUGCGCCACGGUCACCCACAGCCCCCAGAACGCGCAGCCACUGGCAGGUGCCCAUUUUUGCCAAACGAAUGGUGAAUUCAGAAUCUGUGCCUAGCUUGCCUGGCUCGGACUAGGCUCGGAUUCGGCGAGAGGACCCCGGGGUCAUUCCAGGGCAGUUCAUUCCUGAGGGAACCACCUCACCCCGCAGGAUCUCCAACUGCCCCCCCCUCCCCGAAUCCCUUUCAGUGGGCCUCCCCGCUCCCCCAUGGUCUGGAAGAACUUGGCUCCACUGGAUUCAUCUGUCCCUUCCACGUCGCUGAGACUUUUCUGGCUUCCAGCCUGGCUUUAACAAGGGUGGGGGAUUGGUCGCCAGGACCCCGCUGGGGCCCCAACAGCCCUUUGUGGCACCAUCUGCCCUUGUCAAUCUCGAGACUCCCGCCUCCAGGGAUCACCAAUCACAGCGCCGGUUUUGUCACCAGUGGCCAGUCAGCACUUCCGCUGACCCCUGGGGCAGCAAGGUGGGAGCAAGGCCGCUCCAGCACCCCCCACGCCGGGGGCCGACCCCAGAACCCCACACGUCCCCAUCCAUCCUGUCACUGUGUACUUAUCGGACACGCACGGGCCGCCCCGCUCCACCUGUGAGACUGUGCCUUGCUGCUCCGAACCUCGGUCUCUUCCCUCUUGGGAAGUUCGGGCUUAAGUGAGACCCUGCAGUCCCUGCAGGGCUGGCCACGUGGAGGUCUGCCGGGGGCCGAGAACGCGGGGUGGGCUCAGGGCUGGCAAUUUCAUCAGGUUCUUAUCUGCCAGAUGGAGAAGUGCCCCCCAACUCCCAGGGCUGAGCCUGGGAGUCCUGCUUUGAUGUAGGCACCCAUCCUGGCCCCCAAGCUUAGCCCAUCCGGUGGACUCCUUCCGGGAUCUGCACCCAUCUCUGUGUUGGUCCUCAGAGGGUCUCUUGGACCACACAAUCCCCAGCCCCUGGGGGACAUGAGCCUCGUGUUCAGGGGUGUGUUUGGGGCCUCUUGCAGUGUAUGAGGAGGGCCCCAUACUUCCAAGUUCUGGUCAAGGUGCAUCUGUGGGGGCAGGAGGAGGAAGCUGGAUCUGUGGGUUCCUGUCACCUCGAUCUCUACCUCCUGUGCACACAGGCGUGCAGUGCAUGGGCUCAGCCCAAGUGCAUUCCUCUUCCAGGCCUCCAAAUACCGGAGGAGGGAAGUUUUGGAACCAGAUUCAGCCACCUCCUUACCCAGGAUCUCCCACUAUGUGCUUGGGACACUGGUGGUCCCAGAC
Ailuropoda melanoleuca (giant panda) is the source of this 2943-nucleotide RNA transcript. RefSeq lists it as uncharacterized. The record is from RefSeq and is a predicted model, not a curated record. The transcript has 4 exons. Lineage: Eukaryota; Metazoa; Chordata; Mammalia; Carnivora; Ursidae.